Molecule: ribosomal RNA, 301 nt
Filed under: uncultured bacterium
Lineage: Bacteria
Description: partial 16S ribosomal RNA
Rfam family: Bacterial small subunit ribosomal RNA
Source: RNAcentral
CAGCCGCCGCGGGAAUACAGAGGGUGCAAGCGUUAAUCGGAAUUACUGGGCGUAAAGCGCGCGUAGGUGGUUUGUUAAGUUGGAUGUGAAAUCCCCGGGCUCAACCUGGGAACUGCAUCCAAAACUGGCAAGCUAGAGUAUGGUAGAGGGUGGUGGAAUUUCCUGUGUAGCGGUGAAAUGCGUAGAUAUAGGAAGGAACACCAGUGGCGAAGGCGACCACCUGGACUGAUACUGACACUGAGGUGCGAAAGCGUGGGGAGCAAACAGGAUUAGAUACCCGUGUAGUCCCUGUCUCUUAUAC